RNAcentral lists this ribosomal RNA (403 nucleotides) under Theileria mutans. RNAcentral describes it as "bacterial SSU rRNA". It matches the Rfam family "Eukaryotic small subunit ribosomal RNA", at positions 488 to 931 of the family's 1831-position model. The record is from RNAcentral. Lineage: Eukaryota; Apicomplexa; Aconoidasida; Piroplasmida; Theileriidae.
AGAGGGGCCUCACAACUUGGAAAUGCAAUGAAGGGAACCUAAACCCCUUCCAGAGUAUCAAUUGGAGGGCAAGUCUGGUGCCAGCAGCCGCGGUAAUUCCAGCUCCAAUAGCGUAUAUUAAAAUUGUUGCAGUUAAAAAGCUCGUAGUUGAAUUUCUGCCGCAUCGCGGCGGCCCCCCCGCGCCCAGCGUUGCGUUUUAUUUCAGACUCGCUUGCGUCUCCGAAUGUUUACUUUGAGAAAAUAAGAGAGCAGCGAGCACCCCCUUGCCUUGCCUACUAUAGGAUGGAAUGAAAAAGUAGGACUUUACUUCUAUUUUAUUGGGUUGGCGCCAAAGCACUGAUUAAUGGGAACUGUGGGGGGCCUUCGUCUUUAGUUGUCAGAGGUGAAAUUCUAAGAUCUUAGA